This 1286-nucleotide ribosomal RNA is filed under the name metagenome. Its description in RNAcentral is "bacterial SSU rRNA". It matches the Rfam family "Bacterial small subunit ribosomal RNA", at positions 242 to 1520 of the family's 1533-position model. The record is from RNAcentral.
UAGCUAGUUGGUGAGGUAAAGGCUUACCAAGGCGACGAUCUGUAGCGGGUCUGAGAGGAUGAUCCGCCACACUGGAACUGAGACACGGUCCAGACUCCUACGGGAGGCAGCAGUGGGGAAUUUUGGACAAUGGGGGCAACCCUGAUCCAGCCAUGCCGUUGAGUGAAGAAGGCCUUCGGGUUGUAAAGCUCUUUCGGCCGGGAAGAAAUCGCAUGGGCCAAUACCCUGUGUGGAUGACGGUACCGGAAUAAGAAGCACCGGCUAACUACGCGCCAGCAGCCGCGGUAAUACGUAGGGUGCGAGCGUUAAUCGGAAUUACUGGGCGUAAAGCGUGCGCAGGCGGUUUUGUAAGACAGGCGUGAAAUCCCCGGGCUUAACCUGGGAACUGCGUUUGUGACUGCAAGGCUAGAGUACGGCAGAGGGGGGUGGAAUUCCACGUGUAGCAGUGAAAUGCGUAGAGAUGUGGAGGAACACCAAUGGCGAAGGCAGCCCCCUGGGUCGAUACUGACGCUCAUGCACGAAAGCGUGGGUAGCAAACAGGAUUAGAUACCCUGGUAGUCCACGCCCUAAACUAUGUCAACUAGGUGUUGGGUGGGUAAAACCAUUUAGUACCGUAGCUAACGCGUGAAGUUGACCGCCUGGGGAGUACGGCCGCAAGGUUAAAACUCAAAGGAAUUGACGGGGACCCGCACAAGCGGUGGAUGAUGUGGAUUAAUUCGAUGCAACGCGAAAAACCUUACCUACCCUUGACAUGCCAGGAACUUGCCAGAGAUGGCUUGGUGCCCGAAAGGGAGCCUGGACACAGGUGCUGCAUGGCUGUCGUCAGCUCGUGUCGUGAGAUGUUGGGUUAAGUCCCGCAACGAGCGCAACCCUUGUCGUUAAUUGCCAUCAUUUAGUUGGGCACUUUAACGAGACUGCCGGUGACAAACCGGAGGAAGGUGGGGAUGACGUCAAGUCCUCAUGGCCCUUAUGGGUAGGGCUUCACACGUCAUACAAUGGUCGGUACAAAGGGUUGCCAAGCCGCGAGGCGGAGCCAAUCCCAGAAAGCCGAUCGUAGUCCGGAUUGCAGGCUGCAACUCGCCUGCAUGAAGUCGGAAUCGCUAGUAAUCGUGGAUCAGCAUGUCACGGUGAAUACGUUCCCGGGUCUUGUACACACCGCCCGUCACACCAUGGGAGCGGGUUCCGCCAGAAGUAGGUAGCCUAACCGCAAGGGGGGCGCUUACCACGGCGGGGUUCGUGACUGGGGUGAAGUCGUAACAAGGUAGCCGUAGGGGAACCUGCGGCUG